Molecule: ribosomal RNA, 439 nt
Filed under: uncultured bacterium
Lineage: Bacteria
Description: partial 16S ribosomal RNA
Rfam family: Bacterial small subunit ribosomal RNA
Source: RNAcentral
CCACGGGUCGCUCCAGUGAGGAAUAUUGCACAAUGGGGGGAACCCUGAUGCAGCAACGCCGCGUGGAGGAUGACGUAUUUCGGUGUGUAAACUCCUUUUAUAUGUUAAGAAAAUGACGGUAGCAUAUGAAUAAGCACCGGCUAACUCCGUGCCAGCAGCCGCGGUAAUACGGAGGGUGCAAGCGUUACUCGGAAUCACUGGGCGUAAAGGACGCGUAGGCGGGUUGGAAAGUCAGGUGUGAAAUCCUACAGCUUAACUGUAGAACUGCACUUGAAACUUCUAAUCUAGAGUAUGGGAGGGGGAGAUGGAAUUAGUGGUGUAGGGGUAAAAUCCGUAGAUAUCACUAGGAAUACCUAAAGCGAAGGCGAUCUCCUGGAACAUUACUGACGCUAAGGCGUGAAAGCGUGGGGAGCAAACAGGAUUAGAUACCCGGGUAGUC